This 302-nucleotide unclassified non-coding RNA is filed under the name Inocybe sp. RNAcentral's name for it is "partial contains 5.8S ribosomal RNA, internal transcribed spacer 2, and large subunit ribosomal RNA". The stretch from base 1 to 52 matches the Rfam family "5.8S ribosomal RNA", at positions 103 to 154 of the family's 154-position model. Lineage: Eukaryota; Fungi; Basidiomycota; Agaricomycetes; Agaricales; Inocybaceae. RNAcentral also lists the same sequence under 2 other names. The record is from RNAcentral.
AACGCAUCUUGCGCUCCUUGGUAUUCCGAGGAGCAUGCCUGUUUGAGUGUCAUUUAACUUAUCAACCACUUCAGAUUCUGGAUGUGGCUUGGAUGUGGGGGAAUAUCUUUGCAGGCCUUUUUUUGCAAAAGAAGGGUCAGCUCCUCUGAAAUGUAUUAGUGGCAUCUGAGCUGCUACUGUAGGUGUGAUAACUAUCUAUGCCUUUGGUAUGCUGCAUGAGACAGAUUGCGCUGCUUAAAACUUGGAAAAAAACCUUUGACAAACUUGACCUCAAAUCAGGUAGGACUACCCGCUGAACUUAA